GACAAAGGUGCUGCACACAGGGCCAUGCCCAACCAGCAGGCUCUCAGAGGACUCUUGAGGUGGAAAUGAAAACAGCCUCAUUGUCUCUGAUUGCAACUUUAACCCUGUCUUGAAUUGUCUAAGAGGCUGGGGGCUGACAGCUGAAUCCAAGUCUCAGACACACAGACUUUGACCUUUGCAGUCCACUGACCUGCAGAAUACAUCAGUUAAUACACAUAGGAAGAGAUGCAAGAAAGAGCAACAUGAAAGUGGGUAAAGGAUUAUCAAAGGAGGAGUAAAGAGACGGAGAGCAGAGAGGCUGAGCAAAGACAUCUAGAUUAAUGAUAAGGCGACCAAGGGACAGC
This 344-nucleotide long non-coding RNA is filed under the name Homo sapiens (human). RNAcentral describes it as "HSALNT0337822". Lineage: Eukaryota; Metazoa; Chordata; Mammalia; Primates; Hominidae. The record is from RNAcentral.